GAAAUGCGAUAAGUAAUGUGAAUUGCAGAAUUCAGUGAAUCAUCGAAUCUUUGAACGCACCUUGCGCUCCUUGGUAUUCCUUGGAGCAUGCCUGUUUGAGUAUCAUGAAAUCUUCAAAGUAAAUCUUUUGUUAACUCAAUUGGUUUCUACUUUGGUAUUGGAGGUCUUUGCAGCUUCACACCUGCUCCUCUUUGUUCAUUAGCUGGAUCUCAGUGUUAUGCUUGGUUCCACUCGGCGUGAUAAGUUAUCUAUCGCUGAGGACACUGUAAAAGGUGGCCAAGGUAAAUGCAGAUGAACCGCUUCUAAUAGUCCAUUGACUUGGACAAUACUUUUAUGAUCAGAUCUCAAAUCAGGUAGGACUACCCGCUGAACUUAAGC
Molecule: unclassified non-coding RNA, 378 nt
Filed under: plant metagenome
Description: partial contains 5.8S ribosomal RNA, internal transcribed spacer 2, and large subunit ribosomal RNA
Rfam family: 5.8S ribosomal RNA (bases 1-105)
Source: RNAcentral